CAGUGUACAAGUCACCACCACCCCCAACUCCCGUUUACAAAUCACCACCACCACCAGUGAAGCCAUACCAUCCCGCACCAGUAUACAAGUCUCCACCACCCCCAACUCCCAUUUACAAAUCACCACCACCACCAGUGAAGCCAUACCAUCCUAAACCUGUGUACAAGUCUCCACCACCACCAGUGAAGCCAUAUCAUCCUACACCCGUCUACAAGUCUCCACCACCACCAACUCCCGUCUACAAGUCACCACCACCACCAGUGAAGCCAUACCAUCCUACACCCGUCUACAAGUCUCCACCACCACCAACUCCCGUCUACAAGUCGCCACCACCACCAGUGAAGCCAUACCAUCCUACACCCGUAUACAAGUCUCCACCACCACCAACUCCCGUUUACAAGUCACCACCACCACCAGUGAAGCCAUAUCAUCCCUCACCAACACCAUACCACCCUACACCAGUAUACAAGUCUCCACCACCACCAACUCCCGUUUACAAGUCCCCACCACCACCAGUAAAGCCAUACCACCCUUCACCAACACCAUACCAUCCUAAACCAGUAUACAAGUCUCCACCACCACCAACUCCAGUCUACAAGUCUCCACCACCAACCCACUAUGUUUACUCCUCUCCCCCUCCUCCCUACCAUUACUAAGAAGUGAGUUUACUAUAUCUGAGGUAAUUAAGAUGAACUUAAACCUUUACAAACAUAUAUAACUAAAAUGCAAUGCAAUAAUAAGUUGCACAAUUAUUUCUUCUCUUUUGGUUAGUUUCUUUUAUAUGUUCUCAUUCACAAUAUUAUAUUGUUAUGCAGGAAAAGCAUAAUGUUGAGCUGAAAGAAAGGCAUUUUCCAUUUUCAAGAAGAAAAUUAUAGUAAAUAAUAAGGCUUACAGAAGAUCAGACGAAGUUCUUUUGUAGCUUCAUGUUAUCUAACUUGUCUUAGUGAUAUAUUGUUUUUGUACUCUAUUUUUAUAUAUUACUUUUAUGUGUCUUUGUGUAUGUUUGCUCACUUUCAAUCUUCUUGCAAAAUGCAGAGAUUAAUUAUGAGAUUAUCAUGAAUAAAAUAAGUUAUUACUACUCCCAUAUGUUUUAAUUAACUUCUCAUCACAAUAUAUAUUACCUUUGUUUUCAUUUUAUCAUGUGCUCAUAUUUAAUUUAUAAAAUUAUAAUGUGAACACAACAUUUACAAUUUUUUUCAAAUAGAACUAUUUAUAUAUAUAUAUAUAUAUAUAUAUAUAUAUAUAUAUAUAUAUAACAGGAUGCUCAAAUUAAUAACCAACGAAUUUCAUGUACUUAUGGUUAUAAUUCAAUCAAAUUCGAGUAUUGUAGUCCAUUUACGAUAACAAAAUAAAAAAAUUAUUUAAUAAUCACAUAAUACGUUGUUAAACUUUUGUAAAGUAUAUGAUUUCAGAAGCUCAAACAAAAAAUUACAAUCCAAAUAUUUUAAAAAUAAUAGUUUAAAAUUUUCACGCAUCACAUAAAUAUAUAUACUUACUCCAAGCCUAUCCUAUCCGAAAUUUUCAGCUAUUGAUGUAGCCUCUUGUCGAUACUACUAGUCUUCUCGCUACCUACUAGAAAAAUUCCAUCAAAAUAGAUUGAAUCGACGACCUAUACUUCAACUAAAGGCACGAGGGCGUAGCGAGCUUAACUAUUAUCGUAAUAUAAGAUGAAAUCCACCCAUUUUGAUAUCACAUACACGUCUUUAAAACUGAUAAAAUAAUGAGGUCUACUCUUAGUCAAAAUUAAAUGAUUGUAGACCACAUCUACAGUUCCCAAUUGUCAACAAUUCGAUCCUCCGCGUUUGUGGUAGGUUUCACUUUCAUUUCUUCGGUUCGAUUUUAUCAAAUUUUAAUUUGAUUCUUUAAUUUUUAAUUUUGGAAAAAUGUGUAUGGAAUGUUGAAUCGAAUUAAUUUGUUUAAUUAUCUUUUUAAAAAAUUAGUUUAAAACAAAAAUUGAAUUUCAAUAAAAUUUAAUGAAAAAAUUAUUCAAAUUGAUUAGGUAACCUUUUAAGUCAAAUAUCAAUAGUUGAAUAAUUUUAUAGGUAAAAUAUUCAUAAUUGAGUGACUUUGAGAUCAUACAAGAAAAUUGAGUGACUUUAUAAGAGAAAAAAUCUUAGUUAAAAUAAUUUUUUAUGAGAAAAAAUUCUUAAGUAACUUUAUGGCAUUAUAAAAAAAAAUUAACUCCUCUUUAAAUUAGAAUUACAAAAUUAAAAGUAAGUUCCAUUUUAAAGAUAAGGACAUUAUUAGUAAAAAUAAUUGGUGAACAUUUUCCAAUGAAAAAAUAAUAUUUUUCUAAAAUAGCUAAUAGAUGAUAAUUCGUUUCUUAGGCGUAAAAAUGUUAGGACAUGUUAGCCUCACUCAGUUGAAUAAAUUGCUCACCAAGAACAUAAUCAUUGAAUAUCCUAAAACAAAGUUUAAAAAUGAAUUAAAAAAAAAAUCAGUAAUAAAAAAAUACAUGCAAACUAUCUACAAAUGUAUUAUUAUUAAUUUUUAAAUAAAAAAGAGUAAAUGAAAGAGAAUAGAAGAUCUUUGACUUGUUAAUUAAGACAAAUAUUUGUCUAAUAUAAGUAUGUCGGUAAUAACAAUGUAGACUAAGAUCUGUACUUGUUUAUAUAUCCAUAUCCCUUAAUGUUAGGACCAUUAAAAUUAUUAAUUUAGUUUAACUAAUUAAUGGGAUCUUAUAAAUACAUUAAUAAUAUUACUGUUGUCGGUGAUUAAGUUAAUGCUAAUACUUAAUUGUUUUUUUUUUCCAAUUAAAAUGUCAAAGUCGUUAGAUGAACCAAAAUGGAAUCGUCCAUGAAGAUGGUACCAGAGUACAAUUAUUGAAUAAUAUCUUUUUUUUUUAACUUCAAAAAUUAAAGUGGAAUUCAAUUACCUACUUUAUAAAUGUAUGGCAACUUGGCAAUAAUUCAUUAAAUUUCAGGAAGAACAAAAACCAUCGAUAAUUGAGAUUAAUUUAAGAGAUAAAUGUCAAAAACACAUUUAAUAUAUUACAUAUUUUAAAAAAAUUCAUACUUCACCCCGUCUCUUUUCGAAAAAAUUGAUAUUAUUUUAUUUUUUUAAAAAUAGGAAUUCUAUCCAUCCUAUAUAACCUCCUGUACCUAAUUUUUUUAUAUAUAUUUUUGUGAGUUUGUAUUAGAUAUGUACAUAUAUUUUUAGGAAUUCUUUCUACUUGUGUACCAAAUAUAAAGUAAAUAAAACAUUUAUUUUUUAAAAAAGUCUUGAGGCCGUGGCAAAUAAAAAUUAUUUUCAAUAUGUUUAUAUCUAACACAAAAGGAGAAAAAGUUCGAAAGCGGACGGUUAGGUGGGGUAGGUAUAUUUUUUUUAAAGCAAAUUAGUAUAUAUAUUUUUUUGUGUGUGUGGGGUUGGGGGGGGGGGGGGGGUAAAAAAAAGUUAAAUACCUUUACAAAAGAAAUUUAAACAAAAAAAACUAAAAAAAAAAAGGGUGGGGGGAGGGUUGGACGGUUAGAGAAAGUGAUGGAGUGGGUAGGGAGGCGAGCAAAAUUGGGAGGGAGACGAGCAAACUUUGUACGUAUCGUAACCCAGAACAUGUGAAUCAAGCAAGAUACACACUAGGUACAUGUAUUUGUACGUGUCUAGAGGAAUUCACAUAUAUCUGGGAUAUCAUAUUCUUGGAAGAAUGACGAGCAAAAUGGAACAGAGGCAAGGAAGGAAAACGAGAUAUACUAUGUAUCCCAAAUACAUGCGAAUUCAAUAAAUAUAAUGUAUCUAGAACAAAUUACACCUAAAUUUGAUCGAGAUAUUCGAGAUACAUGUAUCUCAAGGCACCAAAAUCUGAUUUUUAUAUAUAUAUAUAUAUAUAUGAAAGUUUAUGUGAUCGAUAAAACUAAUAGCUUAGUAUUUCAAUGGUAUCAUUUCUACACAAAAUAGUUCUACCUCAAUUUAUGACAAAAAUGAUUUUAUUUAUAUGAGAUCAAAUUUAUAGGGUUUCGAUGACCAUGAUAAAACAGGAGAAUGUACAAAAAUACUUAAGUCCUUGUUUAUAAUAUACCAUUUUGCCAAAAUAUUUGUAGCUCGAUUAACUUUCUUAUAGAAAUGUUGAACCUUUCAAAUAAUAGUGCUUGAUAUAAUGAUAUAUUGUAAAUAUGAAAAGUGAUGUUUUUCAUUUUCCAAAGAAUACCACUAAAAUAGUUCUUUCUAACAUCAUGUAUAAAUUUUUAUGCAAGUAAAACAUUUUAAAUAAUAAUCUACGAAACUUGUUAUUUGAUCCUCAUAGAUAUUAUAACAUUUAGUUUUAGUGCUUAUGAAAAUAAUUUUGUUAGAACAAUAUUUCCAUUAUACGUAUAAAAAGUUCACAUUGUUCUUUGUUUUUAAAGAUACAAUAUCCUAAUUAUUUCAUUGUUAUUCCAUCUCUAUUAUUCAUUGAGCAUAAUUUGAAUAAUUUAUUUUUAUCAUAUUAUUACCAAUAUAAUCAUAGAAAGUCAAAUAAGAAAACUAAUUUUCCUUGUUACUAUUUCUUUGAUUAAUUGGAAUUAGAGACGACUAGUUAUUAUUAUGAGCAACUUUCACAUAUAGCAAACAAAAAAUUUAUAUUUGUAUGCUAAUUAAGCUCCAUAGCAAACAUAAAACUGUAUAAUUUGCUAUACAUAUACAAUUGUAUAAUUCGCUGGCCUAUUUCGCUGCAAUAGUAUAAUUUGUUUUGCAUACAGUUGAAUCGAAUUAAAAUGUAUGUAUAUUGCAUAAUUAUAAGUGUAUAGCAAGAAGAUAUAUGUUUUUCUCGCUUUAUACAAAAACAGAAACACAAUAUAUACACUUUUGUUGUAUAAAGCUAGAGAAAAUUGUAUUUCACUGCAAUUGUAUAAUUCGCAAUUGUAUAAUUCGUUGGCCUUUUUCUCUGCAAUAUUUGAAGUAAAAUGUUUGCAAAUUGUGUAAUUAAGUGUAUAACAUGAAGAUAUACAUUUUUGCAUGUGUAUAUACAAUUUUCUCUCGCUUUAUACAAAACAGAAACAGAAUUAUACACUUCUGUGUAUAAAGCGGGAGAGGCGAGCGAGAAUGGAGAGUGGCGAGCGAGAUUUUUGGGAGAGAGACGCUGGCAAAUUUUAGCUAAUGUUUGCUAUGGAGCAAAAUUAAAUCAAAUCCUAGCUAUUCCAUUUAAUUUAGGUUAUUAGUUUGCUAUUAUAUACAAUUUUUUCUAUUAUUAUUAAUCGGAUGCAUUUCACUCCGCACAUAAAUAACUUCCAAUAAUUUAAUAUUAAUUAUAUAUGCUCUAUUAAAUAAUUUUUAAAUAUAAAAUAAUAUUAUGGUAGAUUUGGGGGUGUCAAAAUCAAGUCAAUUUGUCAAACUCCCCUAUUCCAUUUAAUUUAUCAACUUUAACUCAUCUCAACCUAAUUUAGUUUAAUUCAUAUUUAAACAGUGAAUUGAUAUAUAAUUCAAAUUAGCUUAUCAAAAUAUUUUUAAAAUAAUAUUUUUAAAAUUUGAUAUGUUAUAUAUAGUCGUAAUAAAGAAAAAAAUAAACUUAUUAGGUGCUAAAAAAUUUUAAAAAGAGCAAACUAAACAACUAAAUUUUAGUAAAAAUUGAAGGGGUUAUAUUAGAAAUCGAAUUUAACUUAAUUAUGUCCAAUUCAUUUCAAUUCAAAUAGACAAUAGCUAAUGAUCCAUUCAUUUGUUAACUCAUUAAAAUUCAAUCGGUUCAAAUUCAGGUCAACUCUCCUAUACCAAACUUCUAGUAGAUCUUAAUCAAUAAAAAUUUGGACACGAAAACAAUUCAUUCAUUUCAUCCAUCAAAUUAUUAAUAAGUGACACCAUCUUAGCGACCCAGUUCAUUGUAUUAUAUUAAGAAAAAAUAACUUAAAUACACAAUUAUAAGUUUUAUAUUUUCUAAUUUUCCCUUCUUUUUUUUAAAUAUUACAUAAUUUCCUUUUUUUAAAAUUUUAGUGUAAGUUUAUAGAUACAUUACAUUCUCUCUCCUAUAGUACACAAUUACCCAUUUUAAUGCCUAUUUAUUCUCCAUUAAAACACUCAACCUUUUAAAUAAAAGACCUAAUUUUGAAUUUCAAAAUUCAAAAAAUUUCAAAUUUCAAAAAUCAGGUUCUCCCGUUUUUCUUACUCCAUCAAGUUUCACUUCCUUUUUUUCCAUAAUCAUCUUCCUUCUUCUUAACCUAGCAGAAUUUAUUGGUUUCUUCUUUUUAUUCUUAAUCCAUCAUCUUUUUCUUCUUAAUCUGUAAUCGUCUUAACCCAAUAUCUUUUUAUUAUUAAUCCAUCAUCAGUUCGUCUUUUCUUCUCUUUUUUCUUUUUGUUAAUUGUUCUAUUACAUUAUAGUAAUGGAUCCGUUAAUUAAUAGAAGGAUAUAUGAUUCCGACGAUGAAAAUUGGAAAGAAAAUAGGAAAAAGUUUUUGCAUGAUCCUAUGAAUCUUCAGAAGGAUUCAAACAAAGACUCUGGCGAAACAUCAAAAUCAAAGGUUAUCAAAAUACAACAAAAAAAGAAAAAAGAAGCAGCAAACAUUGUUGUUAGGCCUACAUUGUCUCGGGUUAGUAUUUUGGUACUUAAAACUGUUGUUGAAAUUAGUAAAAAUUUUAAGGAAUCUAGUGUGCUUGCCGAUACAUUUGAAUAAGUGUGUAUAGUGUUUUAGAGGUGAAUUGAUACAUGAAUUUAUUGUGUAUCAUAAUAUUUUAUAUGUAUCAUGAAGUUUUGAAAAUUGUUAUAAUGUAUCAUUCAAUAAGUUUAGUAAAUACGUCAUCAACUGUGCUUGAUGAUACAUAUAGAAUCAGUGUGUACGGUGUUUAGUCAAUUCACUGAUACAUGUAGGAGAUAUGUAUCACAUGUUUUGCAUAUAGUAUGAAUUUCUGAAAACUGAUAUCAUGUAUCAGUAAGGUAUUAGUUGUUUAGUUGAUGUACUGAUACAUGUUUGAAAAUUGUUAUAAUGUAUCAUUCACUAAGUUUAAUAAAUGCGUCAUCAACUGUACUUGAUGAUACAUAUAGAAUCAGUGUGUAUAUUGUUUAGUCGAUGUUUCUGAUACAUGCAUUAGAUACGAAAUUGAAUCUCCAACAACGAUUCCGUCGAUUUUGUAACUUUCAUACUGCAAUUCGUUCACCUAAAUUCCGGAAUGUCUCAUCAAAAUCGAAGUAUUCAUCUUGAAAAAUCCACUGUAACAACAAUAAAAUUACUGUAGUUCGAAAUUUAACAGAUUGUUCAAAAAAAUUGUUUUCAAAAUAGAUGACAUAAUCUUUGUUUUUCAAAAUUUGAAAUUAAUAUCCAAUUAAGUGCUUAUUUUAUGCUGAUUAAUGAUAUGUUACCGUAAAUUUAGCUGUUUUAUUAACAACAUUAACUGUACCGUUUUCCCCCUUUUUUUUCUCAACAGUUUAAAAUUACCAUGUAUCAUUUACCUUGUAUCACGAGAGUCUAAAGUAUCACGGCUCAACAAAUUUAAGAGAUUUUUUGUAAAUACUAAAUUUGUCUGGACAAAAUGAAAUUAUUGAAUUACACUAUAGGAUUCCUUAAAUUUUUACUUAUAUUAAUCUUUAGUAUGGGGACCUAAAUAUUUAACUUUCCAAUUCCUUUAGGGGUCAAUUUGAUUGAUUAUAAUGAGUGAAUUAUACUAUAAAAAUUGAAAUAAUAAUUAAUGUUUGUAGAGCAUAUUAAAUUAUUUUAUCAUGACUACAGUUGGUGUUAAUUGAAUUGGAAAUAAGAUAUAUACGGUAUAUAAUAUAUAUAGAAAUUUUAAUUUGAUUCGUUGAUUUUGUAUUUUCAGACAAAUUUUAUUUUUAAUUUUACCUUUCUUAAAGAACUUUUAGUUUGGUUGUUUUAUCAUGGAAUUAGCUAAUUAUUAAUCUAGAGAAUUGCUAUUCCAUAUACAACUUUGGUACAAUUAGAGAAUUAUAAUAUAAUUAAUUUCAAAAUUACUUAUAUUUAGGAACAAAAGUUUCAAUCAAACGAUAAAUAAUUGAAUAUUUUAUCUCAGAAUUAGUAUUAUUAUUAUUAAUACUAAUUAACGAUCCUAAGUUUCGAUUUUGUCACUCCGGUCCUUUUCUUUUAAUCUUUUCACAAACCAACUACAUUUGAUUGCAUUAACUAUAAAGUCCAUUUGCAUUAUUUUACAUAUCAAUUAAUAUUACUAAACUAAAUUUAUCUAUAAUUACUGAUUUAAAUGUAUACCUAUUUUCUCACCAACAUGGCAUAUAUAUUAGACUCAUUAAAAUUAAACGUUGCUUCAUGUGGUGUGUUCAAUUGGUUAGACUAUCUCGUCAAAUAUAUUGUUCGCAAAUAAACAAUGCUCAAAUGAAUGAUAUUAAUGUUGUUGGUGAAUAUUACAAGCUUCUCGUAACGUUUUGUUAGCUUACGUAUGAAUGUGCAAUAUUAUUUCUACUUAUUUUGUCAAACACUAAAAAAGUAAGUAAAAAACUUGUUUAUGUGAGAUAAUAUUUUUCUUUGUACCUAAAAAGUGCAUUAAUUUAUAUAGCUAAAAUAGUGCAAAGUUGAGGCCUCCACGCAUUAUUUUUGGUGAGAAGAAGAAUGAGAAGACUUUCUAUCUCUUUGAAUUAUUGCAUCACAAACAGUAUAGCUGCCUUAAUAGUUUAUUCAUUUGCUUAGCUUAAUGCCUCUAUCCAUCAAAUUAAAUAUACAACUAACAAGACAAAACCAAAUGAAAAUGCAUAACUCUAGGAUUUUACCUACAUUUGUAUAAAUUUUGGUAAGGGUAUCUGUCUAAAUGAAAACUAUAUAAAGGGGUUUGAGUGAAGCUUAAGAUGACAACAACUUUCUCCUUUGUUUCGAAUAUGGGGAAAAUGGCCUUUCUAGUUGCCACCCUUUUAGUGGUUUUAGUGUCACUUAGCUUAGCAUCUGAAAUUUCAGCUAAUUAUCAAUACUCAUCUCCCCCACCACCAAAGGAGCCAUACCACCCUUCACCAACACCAUAUCAUCCCACACCAGUUUACAAUUCUCCACCACCACCAAAAGAGCCAUACUACCCUCCACACACUCCAGUGUACAAGUCGCCACCACCCUCGACACCUAUUUACAAGUCGCCACCACCACCCAAAGAGCCAUACUACCCUCCACACACCCCUGCCUACAAGUCACCACCUCCACCAACUCCAGUUUACAGGUCGCCACCACCUCCCAAGGAGCCAUACUAUCCUCCACACACACCAACCUACAAGUCGCCACCUCCACCAACUCCCGUUUACAAGUCACCACCACCUCCAAAGGAACCAUACUACCCUCCACAUGCACCAACCUACAAGUCGCCACCACCUCCCAAGGAGCCAUACUACCCUCCCCACACCCCAACCUACAAGUCCUCACCUCCACCAACUCCGUUUUACAAUUCACCACCACCUCCCAAGGAACCAUACUACCCUCCUCACACACCAACCUACAAGUCGCCACCCCCACACAAGGAUCCAUACUACCCUCCACACACACCAACCUAUAAGUCACCACCUCUACCAACUCCUGUUUACAAGUUGCCACAACCACCCAAGGAGCCAUAUUACCCUCCACACACACCAACCUACAAGUCACCACCUCCACCAACUCCCAUUUACAAGUCACCACCACCUCCCAAGGAGCCAUACUACCCUCCACACACACCAACCUACAAGUUACCACCUCCACCAACUCCCGUUUAUAAGUCGUCGCCACCACCAUCCAAAGAGCCAUACUACCCUCCACACACACCAACCUACAAGUCACCACCUCCACCACCUCCCGUUUAUAAGUCUCCACCACCACCCAAGGAGCCAUACUACCCUCCACACACACCGACCUACAAGUCACCACCUCCACCAACUCCCGUUUACAAGUCCCCACCACCUCCUAAGGAGCCAUACUACCCUCCACACACACCGACCUACAAGUCACCACCUCCACCAACUCCCGUUUACAAGUCCCCACCACCUCCUAAGGAGCCAUACUACCCUCCACACACACCAACCUACAAGUCACAACCUCCACUAACUCCCGUUUAUAAGUCGUCGCCACCACCACCCAAGGAGCCAUACUACCCUCCACACACACUAACCUACAAGUCACCACCUCCACCAACUCCUGUUUAUAAGUCGCCACCACCACCCAAGGAUCCAUACUACCCUCCAAACACCCCAACUUACAAGUCGCCACCUCCACCAACUCUCAUUUACAAGGUUCCACCACCAGCCAAGGAGCCAUACUACCCUCCACACACACCGACCUACAAGUCACCACCUCCACCGACUCCCCUUUAUAAGUCCCCACCACCUCCUAAGGAGCCAUACUACCCUCCACACACACCAACCUACAAGUCACCACCUCCACCAACUCCCGUUUAUAAGUCGUCGCCACCACUACCCAAGGAGCCAUACUACCCUUCACACACACCAACCUACAAGUCACCACCUCCACCAACUCCCGUUUAUAAGUCUCCACCACCAACCAAGGAUCCAUACUACCCUCCACACGCCCCAACCUACAAGUCGCCACCUCCACCACCUCCCACUUACAAGUCGCCACCACCACCAAAGGAGCCAUACUACCCUCCACACACACCAACCUACAAGUCAUCACCUCCACCAACUCUCAUUUAUAAGUUGUUGCCACCACCACCCAAAGAGCCGUACUACCCUCCACACACACCAACCUACAAGUCACCACGUCCACCAACUCCCAUUUAUAAGUCGUCGCCGCCGCCACCCAAGGAGCCAUACUACCCUCCACACACACCAACCUACAAGUCACCACCUCCACCAACUCCCGUUUAUAAGUCGCCACCACCACCCAAGGAUCCAUACUACCCUCCACACACCCCAACCUACAAGUCGCCACCUCCACCAACUCCCGUUUACAAGUCGCCACCACCACCCAAGGAGCCAUACUACCCUCCUCACACACCAACCUAUAAGUCACCACCUCCACCAAGUCCCGUUUACAAGUCGCCACCACCACCCAAGGAUCCAUACUAUCCUCCACACACCCCAACCUACAAGUCGCCACCUCCACCAACUCCCGUUUACAAGUCGCCACCACCACCCAAGGAGCCAUACUACCCUCCUCACACACCAACCUAUAAGUCACCACCUCCACCAAGUCCCGUUUACAAGUCGCCACCACCACCCAAGGAGCCAGACUACCCUCCACACACCCCAUCCUACAAGUUACCACCUCCACCAAUUCCCAUUUACAAGUCGCCACCACCACCAACUCCUGCCUACAACUCUCCUCCACCACCUUACUAUCUUUACACCUCUCCCCCUCCUCCCUACCAUUACUAAAAAGCCACUUCAUUAUAUCGAGGUAAUUAAGACAAACUAAAACUAUUACUAAUGAUGUGUCUAAAAUGCAAAGCAAUAAGUUGCUCAAUUUCCUCAUGCAAAUCAUUAAUAUAUAGACCUAUGCAGUCUAUAUUCUUAUUUGGAUAACUUUAAUUACAUGUUCUCAUUCACAAAAUUAUAUUCUUAUGCAGGAAAAGCAAAAUGUUGAGCUUAAAGAAAGGCAUUUUACAUUUUCGAGAGACGAUGAAAAAAGAAGAAAACUAUAGUAAAUAAUAAGCCCCACAUAAGUCGAAGUUCUUUUGUAGCUUCAUGUUAUCUAAGCUAGUGAUACUGUUUGUACUCUAUUAUUUAUAUUUGUAUUUUUACUUUUAUGUCUUUCUGUAUGUUUGCUCAGUUUUAAUAUCCUAGCAAAAUGCAAAGAUUAAUUAUGAGAUGAAUAAAAUAAGUUAUUACUAUUAUACAGUUUUAUGUUUUCCUUCUCUCUGAUCUAUUCGAUCUUAAUUAGUCCUUUUUUUGGUCUUAUUUCUUCAUCUUUAUAUCGAAGGCGAGGCUCAACGAUUACAUUAAAUCAAUCAUCAUACAGAUAAAAUUGAUGACAAAUUUAACGUUAAGAUAUCAUCAAAAUCUCAAUAACAAUUUACAGAUCGAAAUCUUAGUAUCGAUUGAUUAAUAACCUAAACUUUCGCCAUGAAGACUUGAAUCCCUAAUCCCGUCCUUCAUUUCCCAUAUCUCUACCCACACAUUAUCUUUUAAGAAAGAAGAAGUAACAACCAAAAUAAACAUUAUAUCUAAAGUGAUAAUAUGAUAACAAUACAAAUAGGCAACAAUACAAUUAAAGAAAAAAAAAAAAGUUACUCCCACGAUGUCAACACGUAUGCUAGACUGACCAAUAAAGUUAGACAAAUUUCAAAAUUGACAAUAGCAAAGUAUACGUACGUAGCAUAUAGCAACCAAUCAAUGAAUAAAUUAUUCCUAAAGUAGUCAUUAUCAUCUCAUAUACUAUAUUUGGUAAAAUACUAAGAUUAAGUCAACAUAAUUCAGUCUACCGUUUGGUAAUUUAUAACAAAUAGUGACAAUAUUAAUAAAGUGAUUGGUGCUCUCUUUUGGCCCACCCCCAAGAAGAUCGUGAACGCAUAUUUUAAAUUUGAUUUGAUUACCACUUUUUAAUAUCUUUAAAAUAAAACUUGUAUAUUUAAAAAAUUAAAAAUUAUUAUUAUUAUUUAAUUAUAUAAAUAAAAUAUUUUAAAAUACAUUAGUAUCUUAAUAGAGAAAAGAUUAAAAAAUUAAAAAUUAUUAUUAUUAUUUAAUUAUAUAAAUAAAAUAUUUUAAAAUACAUUAGUAUCUUAAUAGAGAAAAGAUUGUUUGUUUGAUUUUCUAAAGUAACAGAGUCGGAUGAGAUAGUUGAUUAAUUUGACGGUUUGAAUAAUAUAAUCUUCUUGAUAAAUAAUCAUCAACCCAUCAUGCAUGUUUUAUAUUUAUUGAUAGAAACUUUGAUGGAUUGAUUUGUUGGUGCCGCCUCAACAUAGAGAAAAGAAAAAGAACAAGUUAUUUCAAUCUAUUACACUUUAGAGAUUAAAAAAAACAUUUUUUAAAGCAGUGAUAAAAUUGAUAAUAAUAAGUUGUUAAUAUGUUUGGCAAAAAGAGUGUCGAUUAACUAUUUUUUGCUAUAGUAUUGAAAUAUCUUUAGAUUUUUUAACCCCCAAAAAAGGUUUAAAACUACCUCUGUAAAGAAAAGGAGUUUAUUUUUAGAAAAUAUAUCUCGAGAAAUAAAGUAAGAUAAAGGAUAAAAUCGUGAAAGAAAAAUGUUGAUAAGCAAACAAAAAAAUCAAAGUUAGGAAUGACCAAUUUAUUGAAUAUAACUAAAUUGUCUUAAAUAAGCAACUUAGCUUAUAAAUAUAUAUAUAAAAUUAUUUUUAUAUCAGUUUGAUCAAUUAAUAAUAAAUUGAUUAUGCAUGAAAUAAUAGGAAGUGUUCUAAUUAAAAAGAAUACAAGGAAAAAGGUGCAGUAUUGUGUACGAUCGACCAAACAUACAUUCGUUAUUAAUUAUUAUUAAGCUAAUUAGACAACGCUAUCUUAUUAAUUUAUUAUAGAGCUGUCGAUAUUAGUUUAGAUAAUUAAAUUAUAUAAAAUUCAUUUAAUUCAAUCAAAGCUUGACUUGUUAAAUGUUAGGUUUAUGAUAUGAUUAAUUAUAUAUAUAAUUCACUAUGAUUUUACGCGACUUGUUAAUCAAGACCUUAUUUAACAUAUUGAUUAAGUUAUUAGUUAUAUAACUAAUAAAAAUAUAUUUUAAAUAAUAAAUGGUUAUUGAGAGAAAACUUCCAUGCAAUUAUCAUAAUAAGAAACUUCUUAAGAAAUUGUCUCUAAUUAGAUAAUUGGAUGGUGACUCUUUUGUUUAAAAAAAAUUGAAUCAAUCAAGAUUUUAUUGCUAUUAAUUGUGAACUACAAUUUGUAGAAGGGGAGCAUAAACCUAGAUAUUAACUAUGCACAACAUGAGUGUGCAAGAUUAUUUUGUUUAUUUAUUUUGAUUCAAUUCAGUAUCCGAUAUUCAUAUUAGAUUCUCAAUCAAAUUUGUAUUUACAUUAAAAAAAUUCAGUGCUCCUUAACAGAGGCAACAACUCUGUACUCAGGAGAACUCGAAUUCGAGACCUCUAAACAAGAAUAAAGAAGUAUUUGUUAUUCCAUAACAAUUUUUAUUGAUAAAAGAAACUCGUAGUAUCAUGAAAAGAUAAUAGAUUAUCUAGGCCUAAUGGAAAAUUCAGUCAAGCUUUAGAGGGAAAAUUAUGGCAUAGCAAAGUUACAAACUUUAUAGUAUGAUUAACUUAAUUACAAGACCGUUAAAUUGAAUGCAACCCCAAUAACUUUUCUUUCAAUAAAUAUUUGGCCUUUGUGAGCUUUAUUUGAACUCUCUCUUCCUUCAUAAACUUGACCAUCAGCAAUAUUUUCCUUUCCUCUUUUAUUUUAUUGCUCACUCGAUAGUCAGCUUUUAAGAUUGACUUGAUGUUUCGAUAAGCGAAAGGUGUAAAUCCAGAUUAUGCUCAAGUAUCUAAGUGAUAUAUGAAUUGCAAACUUUUUGCAUAUGCAUUUGAGAAGAAAAUAAUUAUCACAAGAAAAUAAAUAAUUAGCAUGCGGUAAAUUAUUAACGUAGUUAAAUAAUGUUAUAGUCUUAUAAAUUAAAAUAAAGACAAGGCAACAAUUGUCACUAAUUAUUUGUAUUGUUAGCAACAAAAACUAAGAGAACAUAAAUAAUAUAUACUUAAUGGCUCAAUUUUACACCAUUUCACUAUAAAUAACUUUAUGUCGCUAAUUUGAUUACAUAUUUUUGUGACGAAACUUAUUUUGUAUCCAAACUUAAACGAAUUUAAAGAUAAAUAUGAUUUAUCAUAAAUAUUCAGUAAAAACAGGGAGAAAAUUUAUCAUCAUCAAUAUCCUCAAUUUCGUCGCUAAAAUUACCUUACAAUUUGAUUUAAUUAUAAAUUGAAAAUCAAAUUUAAAAAUGAUUAAAUUUGUGAUGUUGGUGCAAAAUGCACGUAUCAAAUUAAACCCACCUUUAGGUCUAAGAAAAUGGUGAGCACAUCUUAACCAUUAUUCUUCAACUCAUUUCAUCUCUUCCUCAAUUAAUUAUGCAAAUAAUAAAAAUAUUUCUUUUUCCAUUCAAUGUCUGUGUUUUAUAUUGAAGUUCCAAUUAACUCUAGAUUAGAAACCGGAGGCGAGGGCACAUUUAAAGGUGAUGCUUCCUAUACGACUCAUGUAGUAAAAAAAAUUAUAAAAAAAACCACCACAAUAAUUAUAUACGCUUCAAAAAAAAGAAGAGAAUAGAAUAGCAUCCUAUUCAUAGAGAAAACUAUACUUGAUAGUUAACUGGUAGCAAAACUUUUGCACAAGAUUAAUUAUAUUUGUAUAGUUGAUUUAUUCAAGGUUUUAAUUAGAAGAGGUCUAGGAUUCUAUUUAUUUUUAUCCAUAUUUUUUAAACAAUAAAUUUGCUACAAAAGGAUGUCUGUGACAAAUCAUGUCUCCUAAAUAUAAGCACUUGUGUGAAGGUUAGUUGAGUGUAAAGUUGAGGCAUCCACGCAUUUUUUUUUUCAAAGGUUCUGUAAAAAGAAAACAAGAUUUUGUAGCUCUUUGAAUCAUUCUGUCACAAACAGUAUAGUUCCCUUAAUAGUUUAUACAUUUGCUUAGGAUGAUGCCUCUAUAUAUCUAUCAAAUUAAAUAUACAAACUAAAGUCAAAAUUGAGCCAACAACAUGUCAAGACUAAAUAAACAUAUGCAUAACUCUACCAUAUUACCUACAUUUGUAUAAAUUUUGGUAAGGGUAAUUUCUAAAUGAAGUCUAUAUAAAGGGGUUUGGGUGAAGCUUAAGAGGACAAAAACUUCUCUCCUUUGUUUCAAAUAUAGGGAAAAUGGCCUCUCUAGUUGCAACUCUUUUAGUGGUUUUAGUGUCACUUAGCUUACCAUCCGAAAGUUCAGCUAAUUAUCAAUACACAUCUCCCCCACCACCAAAGGAGUCAUACCACCCUUCACCAACACCUUAUCAUCCCGUACCACUUUACAAGUCUCCACCACUGCCAACUCCAGUUUACAAUUUUCCACCACCACCCAGAGAGACGUACUACCCUCCACACACUCCAGUGUACAUGCCGUCACCACCCUCGACACAAAUUUACAAGUCGCCACCACCACCCAAGGAGCCAUAUUACCCUCCACACACCCCAACCUACAAGUCGCCACCUCCACCAACUCCUAUUUACAAGUCUCCACCGCCGCCAACUCCCUUUUACAAUUCUCCACCACCACCCAAGGAGCCAUACUACACUUCGCCACCUCCACCAACUCCUACUUACAAGUACCCACCGCCACCAACUCCGGUUUACAAUUCUCCACCACCACCUAAGGAGCCAUACUACCCUCCACACACCCCAACCUACAAGUCGCCACCUCCACCAACUCCUGCUUACAAGUCUCUACCGCCGCCAAUUCCAGUUCACAAUUCUCCACCAUCACCCAAGGAGCCAUACUACCCUCCACACACCCCAACCUACAAGUCGCCACCUCCACCAACUCCUGCUUACAAGUCUCUACCGCUGCCAAUUCCAGUUCACAAUUCUCCACCAUCACCCAAGGAGCCAUACAACCCUCCACACACCCCAACCUACAAGUCGCCACCUCCACCAACUCUUGCUUACAAGUCUCCACCGCCACCAACUCCGAUUUACAAUUCUCCACCACCACCCAAGGAGCCAUACUACCCUCCACAUACCCCAACCUACAAGUCGCCACCUCCACCAACUCCCAUUUACAAGUCGCCACCGUCACCAACUCCGGUUUACGAUUCUCCACCACCACCCAAGGAGCUAUACUACCCUCCACACACCUCAACCUACAAGUCGCCACCACCACCGAAUGAGCCAUACUACCCUCCACACACACCAACAUACAAGUCGCCACCUCCACCAAUUCCAAUCUACAAGUCACCACCUCUUCCAACUCCUAUUUACAAGUCGCCACCACCACCCAAGGAGCCAUACUACCCUCCACAUACUCCACUUUCACCGUCUUCAGUUUAUAAGUCUCCACCUCCACCAACUCAUGUUUACAAGUCGCCGCCACCACCUAUAGAGCCAUACUACCCUCCACACACCCCAAUCUAUAAGUCGCCACCUCCACCGAUUCCUGUUUACAAUUCACCACCUCCACUAACUCCAGUUUAUAAGUCACCACCACCACCCAAAGAGCCUCACUACCCUCCACACACCCCAGUGUAUAAGUCACCACCACCACCCAAGGAGCCAUACUAUUCUCCACAAAAUCCAGUCUACAAGUCGCCACCUCCACCAACUCCCAGUUACAAGUCGCCAACACCACCCAAGGAGCCAUAUUAUCCUCCACAUACCCCAACUUACAAGUCACCACCUCCACCAACUCCAGUAUACAAGUCGCCGCCACCACCCAAGGAGCCAUACUACCCUCCACACACCCCGACCUACAAGUCGCCACCACCACCGAAGGAGUCAUACUAUCCUCCACACACCCCAACCUACAAGUCACCACCUCCACCAACUCCUGUUUCCAGCUCUCCACCACCACCAACUCCAGUCUACAAGUUUCCACCACCAACAGAUUAUGUUUACACCUCUCCCCCUCCUCCCUACUAUUACUAAGAAGAGAUUUCAUUAUAUCUAAGGUAAUUAAACCAAACUAAAACUUUUAAUUAUGAUAUGUCUAUAGAAGUUGCACAAUUUCUUCGUUCGAAUAAUUAAUAUAGACCUGUAUACUGUCUACAUCUUAUUUGGUUUAGGUUCUAUUAUAUGUUCUCAUUCACAAUACUAAUUAUAUUCUUAUGCAGGAAAGAUGCAGAAUGUUGAGCUAAAAGAAAAUAAGCCCACACAGGAGGCAAAGUUUUUUUGUAGCUUCAUUUUGUAUAAGUUAUUGUUUGUACCCUAUAUUAUAUUUAUAUUUUACUUCUAUUUAUUUGUGUAAUAUGUUUGUUCGAUCUCCUUGCAACAUGCAGCCAUUAUGAGAUGUAUAAAAUAUGUUAUUACUAUAUAUACUGUCUUUUUUCUUAUUUUUGUCAUCCCUUAUAUUGAGUUAUAUUUAUAAGUUGAGCCUCUUAUCAAUUACAUUAAAUCAGUUGCUAUAAAAAAUGUGGUUUUUCACCACCAAUAAGUUCAACGAUAAGCUACAAUCAACUGGGAAUAUUAGUAGCUUCAAUAGAAAAUGUUAAUAGCUCCGUUGAUUAGUUAUUUGAACUUUUUAUCUUUAUUACACGUCGCAAUAACAAUCAAUGUAAAUAUUAUAUCUAACCUCUGGACUUAUGCCCACAUAAUUCCUCAAUGCACCCACACAAAAUAUUGAAAUUAAAUAUUAUUACUUGCCUAUUUCUCUUAUCUUGAUUAUUAGUUUUCAGGGAUGAAAGUUUAAUUGUUACACCUUUCACUUUUUUAAAAAAAAAAAAAAGGAAUGGACAACCAACUGAUUUCGUAUCUGAUUGUAGUUGUUGAAGGCAUAUUGUAAUAAUUAAAUUUUCGUUUUUGAAAAAUAAUAAUCAAAAAAUAGAAAAUAUCAAUAAAUAAUAAUAUUUAAUUUUAUUUAUUUGUGCACGAUUUAACAAUCAUUAGAGAUUUCACACUAAAAUGUUUAAUUUUUUUGUUUUUUCUUUUUUUCUCUUCAUGACUAUCAACUCAAAAGUUUUGCUUUUUACCUGAAUUGAUGGAAUACUUGUUGAAAGUUUACCACGAAUGCAUAAUCAAUUUUUAAUCACAUUCGAGGAGGCAUAAAACGACUCACAACUUGAAGGCAAAAAAGAGUUGUAUGCAGAAGACUGCAAAUCAUUAUUGAAUAUUUUUUUAUAUAGGCAUCAGCUAGGGUUUGAAAUAUUUGAUCUAAUCGACUUUAGGUUUGAGAAUAUGAGUUGUGUUGGAUUAGACUUGUAAAUUUAAUAAUGGACUAACCUAAAUUUAAUCGAAAAAUUACCUAACUACAUAUAUAUUUUUUUAUCCUAUUUUCUAUUAUUUCAUAUAAUUUAUAAAAAUUACAAAAAUCUUUUUUUUCUCUCAAAUUCGCUCCUUUCAAGAUUCAUAACUUUAAAUCUUCCAACUCACAAUUUCUCCUUUUUCUCAGGCCUAUAAUCGCUCUACUAUAUUACUAGUUACCUUCAUCUCCUAUAUUUUGAAUUUUAGAUAUUUUUCUCUCUCCCGUUUAUAAUUUAAUUGAGUAUGUAUCAUAUGUUUGUUAUGUAUGUGAAGUACUAUUUUAUAACUAAAUCAUUGUUUAUCAUAUUCAUAAGUUUUUUUUAUAUGAUACAUAGCUAUGUCAAAUUAUACCGGCAUGAUACAUAAAUACUAAUUUAUGCUACAUGUAACGAUCUCAAAUCAAACAACUUAUGAGCAACAAUUACAUGUUAAAUGUAUCCCGUAACAAUACGAUACUUAUUAAUUUAAACGAGAUAAAUAAAUAGUAAUGUAUCAUGUAUUAGUUUUUAGAUGUGAUACAUAAAUUCGAAUUUGGACUACAUGUAUUAAUUACAUAGAAACUACCACGCGGUGAUGUAUCCAUCACAAAUGUAACAUCUUAUGGGCAACAAUUACUUAUUUAAUGUAUCUACUAUAAAUACAAUACUAAUCAAUUGAGACGAGAUACACAAAUAGUAAUGUAUCAUGCAAAAAAAUUUUUUACUUGAUAUGUGAAUUCGAAUUUAUACUAAAUGUAUCAAUUACAUAGCAACUACCACAUUGUAAUGUAUCGAUCUCGAAUUCAACAUCUUAUGGACUAUAAUUAUUUAUUUAGUGUAUUUAGUAUAAAUACAAUACUUAUCAAUUUAAACAAGAUACAUAAAAGUAAAAUGCUAAGUAGACAAGAUAUUCAUGAUAAUAUUCUCAAUUUUUUUGAGAUUCUUCAAUAAACUAGGAGAAGAAUUCUGAAUCUCAAAAUUUACAACAAUUUUGAAUCAAAAUUAAAAAGAUCUUUGAUGAACUGGAGAACAAAGAAUCUUAAUCUCAAAAUUUUUAACAAUCUUGAAUCAAAACUGAAAGGAAUAUCUUUGAUGAUCUUGAAGAUUCAAAAGAAAAUUGUUUAUCCAACAACAAUUUUGUCACUUUUGUAUCAUUCAUAAUUCACUUCGCUUACCCAAAAUUUCGACAAAAGUUUUUGGAUCAAAUGUGAAAGGUUUCUUUGUUGAACGGGGGGAUCAACUAGAAAUUUUAAAUUUCUUCGUUCUGUAUGGAUUUGAUUCUGUAUGAUUGAGAGUAAAAAGAAAUAUAAGCGUAAUUUAUGGAAUUUAAUUAGUUUUCAGAUUUUAUUUUCUUUUUAGCGCAACAGAAAGAUUCUUUUUGUAUUAAAAUUAGUGUAUCUAGAUGGUGGUGACUUAUGUAUUUGUUGAAGGAAGCUGAUGGAACAGGUUUGGUAGUAUAUGACUUUUUUCCUAUAUAAGGAUGAUGUAACUCAAUCAUUCAUUCAUCAAUAUAAUCCUUGAUUCUUCACAUACAUAUCUGUGAGAAUUCUACAUCCGAAAGGUACAAAUUUUAACGGAUCAUUUUAUUAGAAAAAAAUAGAGAUAAAAUAUAAUGUAUUCUUUACAUUACGAAGUUUACGUAAGUUAAUCAAAUUUGAUUAAACUUCCCUUAAAUCAUAAAAGUUUAACUUAAUAUUAUUCCAACUUUAUUAUAGAUAUAUAUAAUUGGAAAAAAAAACAAACAAAAUAGAACAUAAGAUCUCGAUCGCUGGACAAAUGUUUGUCUAUAAUAAAUAAAUAUGUCGGUAAUAAUUAUUGACUAGGUCAAUGUAGCUAAGGUUUGUACUUGUUUAUACUUACAUCCUAUCUCUUGGGACGAUUAAAAAAAUAUUAGUUUAGCUUAUUUAAUAAUGGAAUCUUAUAUGGAGUUUACUAAUUUUAUCUUUGUCGGUGAUUAAGUUAUACAAAUGAUUAAUUAUUUUUCUAAUUAAAAAGUCAAAAGUCAUUAUUGGAUGAACCAAGAAUCUUCCAUGUAUUUGAAUACUUUUUCUGUCUCCCUUAAAUCGUGAUGGCUUUUUUGUAAGUUAAAUAAUAAAAAAUUUUAUUAAUGUUUUGUUGAUAUAAGAAAUUAUAAAAUAAGUAUUUUUGUAUAAUAUAUUUAAAUUUUUAAUUUAAAUUUAAAUUUUAAAAAUUAGUUAUAUUAACUGUUAAAAAACCGUACAACGACUAAAACGGGACGGCUUGUUCUCUUCUUUCUUUUAUUAUAAAUAAAAAUAAAAAUUUAACUAAUGUGCAAUCAAUAAUGUUAAUUAUUUAUUCAAAGUUUAAAUUAAACACAUAAAAGUGAAAAGUAUAAAGCCUUCAACCGAUUCGAUUCAUUUAAUUAUGUUUCUUAAGAUAUUCCAUAUUUUCAAAUUUUAAAGAGAACUAUAAAUUCCUACAUUUAAAACUACAUACAUUAUUAAAAUGUGCCUAUAUAACACGCAUUUAAAUUAGUUGUGCUCAAAUAUAGAUAUCAAACAAGGAAUAAAACAUAAAGUGAAUUACUUAAACUAUAAUUAUAUAUUAAGUAAUUAAAUCAAAUCGUGUAAUUUAAUUAAUUAUACUACCAAAAUAUUAACUUCAACGAUAUGAAGUAACGCAAUGUACCUUUAAAGUUUCACAAAAUUUAAUUAGGUUGUAAGGUUUGAUUCUUGAAAUUUAGAAAUUAUUUUCAAGUGAUUUGAGUACAUUGAAAGUACCUAAGUCAAUAAAGUCAAAAAUAAAUUAAUUUUUACUUUGUAUCGUGACCUGUAUUCUACAUCUUGUGUGUUCCCACGAUAAUAAACUAAGAUACCAAAAAUUUCAUAGAUAUUAUAUUUAAUCAUAUAAAUUUUUUCAAUAUUGAGCUACAUAAUCCGUUGAAUUUUUUGCCCUCUAUUCCCACCUAAAACUAAAAAGAAAGAACAACAUUAAUUGCUUUAUUUAGUAAUGAAAGUGGGUCAUUAUAUAUAUAUAUAUAUAUAUAUAUAUAUAUAUAUAUAUAUAUAUAUAUAUAUAUAUAUAUAUAUUAUUUUAUUUUAUUUUAUUUUAUUUUUUUGACAACUAGGGAAACCUGAGCCGCUAUCCUAUAAAAUAGCUCGCAAAUCACAUAGGAGAGGUAACCUGCACUAGGCAAGCCUGGUGCAACGAGCUUGACCCAGAAGGCAAAUCUCUUGCUUUCGCUGGCAAGGGGUUUCAAACUUGAGACCUCCAAUAUGGAAGUUUCAAGCUCAAACCAUUGGGCCACCCCGAAGGGUUAUAUAUAUAUAACUUUUAGUAAUAUUAGAUAUUGACAUUAAUAAAGAGUGUUAAAGUCUUUAUCGGUAUCAGUUAAGUGUCAUUAGAACCAAUGUUGCUAAAGGCUUUAGGGACACAUACAAAGAAAGUUAUUGCCGCUAAAAACACUUAUUUGGCGACGUUUGAAAAUUAAUUGCCAAUAAUGAUUAUUUUUAAUAUAGUGUAUAUAUGUAUUAUUGUUUUAAAUCUCUAUACUAUUUAAGCACUAAAGGUAAUUAAAGGUUAGUUUAUCAAUCAAAAUCAAAAAAAAAUAAAUUGUUACUCCCUUAGUUCGUUUCAUAGUAGUUGAUCAUCUUACUAAAAAUAAUUGUUACACAUUAAUUGUCCAUCUUAUUAAAUCAAGAAAUCAAUAAUUAAUUUUUUCCUAUAUUAUCUAUUCAGAUAAUUCUUUUGAAAGUAUUAACAUUUGUUUGUAAAAUGUAAAAGAAGUUUUCAAGGGGUGAAUUAAUAAAAUUAUCUAGCUAGUUAAUAAAAAUGAUGGGUGAAAUAAUAUUAUCUAGCUACUUAAUAAAAAUAAUCAACUAAUAUGAGACACAUAAAAAUAGAAUUCUUCAAAUAUUUUGUAACAAAAAAAAAAAGAAAAAAGGCAGUGUACACUGAUUUUUGUAACUAAAAAUCGUGCGAAGUUGAGGGAUGCACGCAUUUUUUUCAAAGAUUUUGUAUGUAUGUAAUGUAAAAGCUUGGAAGAAAAAGAAGACUUUGUAGCUCUUUGAAUUAUUGCAUCACAAGAUGUAAAGAAAAUUGUAUGGUUGUCUUAAUAGUUUAUACAUUUUUGCUUAGCUUGCACCCUCUAUCCAAUAAAUAAAGUCAAAUUGAGCCAACAACAUGACAAAACCAAUUAUAAAAAUGAAUAAAAACUUUACCUACAUUUAUGUAAAUCUUGGUAAGGGUAAUUGUCGAAAUGAAAGCUAUAUAAAGGGGUUUGAGUGAAACUUAAAGAGGACACCAACUUCUCUUCUUUGGUUUCAAAUAUGGGGAAAAUGGCCUCUCUAGUUGCUACUCUUUUAGUGGUUUUAGUGUCACUUAGCUUUGCUUCCGAAAGCUCAGCAAACUAUCAAUACUCAUCUCCUCCACCACCAAAGAAGCCAUACCACCCUUCACCAACACCUUAUCAUCUCGCACCAGUUUACAGAUCACCACCACCACCAACUCCACUUUACAAGUCACCACCACCACCUAAGGAGCCACACUAUCCUCCACACACCCCGGUUUACAAGUCGCCACCUCCUCCAGCUCCAAUUUACAAGUCACCACCACCACCGGUGAAGCCAUACCAUCCAGCACCAGUUUAUAAGUCACCACCACCCCCUACGCCUGUUUACAAGUCACCACCACCACCAGUGAAGCCACACCAUCCUGCACCAGUAUACAAGUCUCCACCACCACCAACUCCAGUUUAUAAGUCACCACCUCCUCCAACACCCGUUUACAAGUCACCACCACCACCAGUGAAGCCAUACCAUCCUGCACCAGUAUACAAGUCACCACCACCUCCAACACCCAUUUACAAGUCACCACCACCACCAGUGAAGCCAUACCAUCCUGCACCAGUAUACAAGUCACCACCACCUCCAACACCCGUUUACAUGUCACCACCACCACCAGUGAAGCCAUACCAUCCUGCACCAGUAUACAAGUCACCACCACCUCUAACACCCGUUUACAAGUCACCACCACCACCAGUGAAGCCAUACCAUCCUGCACCAGUAUACAAAUCUCCACCACCACCAACUCCAAUUUACAAGUCACCUCCACCACCAGUGAAGCCAUACCAUCCUGCACCAGUAUACAAGUCUCCACCACCACCAACUCCAGUUUAUAAGUCACCACCACCACCGGUGAAGCCAUACCAUCCUACACCUGUGUACAAGUCUCCACCACCACCAACUCCUGUUUACAUGUCCCCACCACCACCAGUGAAGCCAUACCAUCCUACACCUGUGUACAAUUCUCCACCACCACCAACUCCCGUUUACAUGUCCCCACCACCACCAGUGAAGCCAUAUCAUCCUACACCUGUGUACAAAUCUCCACCACCACCAACUCUCGUUUACAAAUCACCACCACCACCCGUGAAGCCAUACCAUCCUUCACCAACACCACACCAUCCUACACCAGUAUACAAGUC
This 24096-nucleotide long non-coding RNA is filed under the name Solanum melongena (eggplant). Its description in RNAcentral is "long non-coding RNA (SMEL_LNC000097)". Lineage: Eukaryota; Viridiplantae; Streptophyta; Magnoliopsida; Solanales; Solanaceae. The record is from RNAcentral.